Molecule: long non-coding RNA, 346 nt
Organism: Coregonus clupeaformis (lake whitefish)
Lineage: Eukaryota; Metazoa; Chordata; Actinopteri; Salmoniformes; Salmonidae
Exons: 2
Source: RefSeq, a predicted model, not a curated record
GGUACUCUCAGGUGUGCCAUCAGCGGAUCAACUGGACACUGACCAGGGCCCUAUAUCAACAGGUUCAUAUCCUCUAAGGCCAUCUCCCACCAGUGAAUCAGACGAUCUCCAAUCUAGGCAACCCCUCUGAAGAGGAACCUGACACCAUUCGGCCUUCCUGCAGUAGGCCUGCCUCUGUACGUGCCCCCAGGUCCCGUCCAACUGCACGUGUCAUCUCCGAUGCGGUCUUGGAUAACCAGGAGCAGAUUGCGCAAAGUCUCUGUGAAAUCGCUUCUACUCUGGCCACAAUAUCAGAAAAACUCAAAGACAAACACACAUUAAAAAAUAUAAAGAACGCGCACUGAAA